This 4695-nucleotide long non-coding RNA is filed under the name Malus domestica (apple). RNAcentral's name for it is "long non-coding RNA (MDOM_LNC007375)". The record is from RNAcentral. Lineage: Eukaryota; Viridiplantae; Streptophyta; Magnoliopsida; Rosales; Rosaceae.
AUCUAUCCAAGUCUCGGUCAAGAAGGAUUUUUGAAUCCUUAUCGGCAAGGGUCAUCUCGUUAGCUUUCUCGGUGAAGCGGGGUGUUACAAGUUACUAUACUCGGCACAUUAAACGCCGAGUCGUUUAUGAUUGGUUAUUCGCAAAUAGGUUUUAGAGUUCAGCAUUAUGACGGCCGAACCACUUUCACAGUCAAGACAUAUAUUUGUUUUGAAUACUUGUGUCCCUAUACCCUGGUGUCGAUUCGGCAUGCUUAUACUCUUACGAAUAUAAUCACGGUGACCGAAUCCGACGCCGACGAUUUUUGAACUUCAUAGAACUAGUAGCUUUGUCUUCAAGCUCUAGAACCUGAAGGCCGAUGCAUGUUCCUUCCUCCGCUGCAGUCGCAAGAUCAAGAAGUCAGUCGCGCACCCAACGCAACAUCAACAAAUUUUACUCCUCGGCUGAGCUCGGUUGACGAGUUGGCACACCCCGCAUACAACCAAAUAACGUAGUUAGCUUACUAAUUACUCGGCCUGUGCGCCACGUAGGCUUGGUAGUUUUUAGGGUCAACAUUUUGGCACGCACGGUGGGACCCAGUGCUAAAACUACGAAGUUCACAUGAUAGAUCAAGAUUUCAAUCAGGUUCCGUUGGAGACUUGGCGCCAAGUGAAGCAUUGCUACAAGAAGAAAGCUAAACUCCUUGAGAAGUUGUCUAGAAGAUGGGGGCAAUUUUCAGCUCCAGCAACAGUCAAACUUCGGCCUAGGAAAAUUGUCAAGAUGGCCGAAGAAGAACCCAGGGCACAUGUUUGUUCGGUUGAGACUGAAAGUGUGGUAGGCCUAAAAGAAAAAGUUCAAGUUUCUGACCCAAAAAUUGACUCAGAAAAUGAUUCGUCAAAUAAAUGUUCCAAUGAUGAACGAGGCCAAUACACGGCUUUAGACGAAAAAACCACAUCAAUUGAUAUGGUAAUUGGAGACAUGAUCUUAGAAGCCGAAACCACGCAAAUUGAUAUGAUUAUUAGUGAUAAAGCUGAUAUAGAGAAAUCCCAAUCGGCUAAGUUGUUCAAGUUAAAAGCCGAAAUUGGCGAAAUUAUUAUGCCCGGGGGGCAUAAUAAUUGUCCAACACAAUCGGCGGCCGAUAAAACAUCUUUCAUUAAGCCAAACGUAUUUGGAGAUGUUAUUCUAUUCAACUUUGAAAAAAGUCAAACUGAGAAUUUUGAUAUAAAAAGAUCUCAGCUAGGAAUAAAACAUCGUUGGCCUCCUCCACUUUAUUGUUCGGCCACUUUUGUUUUCCUUUGUUAAAAUAAAAAAAAAUAAAAAAACAUAAAAAAAGAAGAAACAAUAGGUGAAUAAACAUUUUCUUAACCAUUCGGUCUUUCAAACCGAUGCGCAAGAAAGUAAGGUUAAAGUUUUAGUCUUGCCAAGAUUACAUAUAAUAUAUAUAGAGUUUUGGUGUUGAGCAAAAAUCAUGCGGUAUUUGUCGAGUUUAGUGGUGUCGAUUCAUGUGGCGGUGUUGACAAAAAAAAAUUAUUUUUCUUAAUCAUUCGGUCGUGUAGGCCGAUGCUUAAGAAAAUAAGGGGGGCAAACAUUGUUAGUCGGCGGCGUGGGUUUAUAUGUUGCGUUGCUGACAUUGGGUUUAAUAUAUCACGUUCAGGAUUGAUGGACAAGCCGAGCUGCCAAGAAUGGUUCUCCUCGGCCUAAUGUUUUGCGACCUCGCCCUACUUUUUAUCGACCUCGGCCUAACGGUAGGAAUGCAUGCAAAUUCAACAUUAUAUUUAUAUAUGCAUGGCAUUCAUGUUGGCAGAACACAUUCAAUUGAGUUUUGUUAUGAAGUUUAAUAUAUAUAUAUAUAUAUAUAUAUAUUUAUAUUUAUAUAUUCAAAAUAGGUAGUAGGCUUCAGCCUAUGGACAUGGUGGCGUGAGGAAUCAUGAUUUGCUUCAAGGUACUAGGCUAGUAGAAGUUAUGGUUUGCUUUCAUGUCAUGUCAGAACACAAUUGGAAAGAGUGAGAAGUCAUGGUUUGCCUUCAUGUCAUGUUAGAACACAAUUGGGAAGACAAAAGUUUUAUUUAUUUAUUUAGGCCGGGCUCGACCAAUUCGUCGAAUAUACUCGGCCGAAUCUGGAUUUUAUUGUUGUUUUGCUCAGCCAACUUUUGCCGAGCUCGACGGACAUGAGUUGGUGCUCGGCAAUAAAAUCAUGGGUCUCUUCUCUUCCAUAGCAUGAUAUUUACAGUAAAAGGCUAUCUAAAUGGGGAUUUGUUUUAAUAUUUUAGUGGACCUCAUCUCAAAUUUUGGUCAAAAGAACAAAAUUUUAGAAAUUAGUUUGCCAAAUGAAUUUUUAUUCGACGGUGGUUUCUCAGUAGUUCUCAGCUAUAUGUUUUCUUGGUCAUUCGGCGAAGUUACGAGUUUCGAGGCCAUCUAGUCGAAGUUGAGGGAAAUUUUAAUAUGCGUUGACGAAUAAUUUCCUUGACCAUUCGGCUUAUGAGCCGAAGCUCAAGGAAACUGAGGGGUAAUGUUUGGACCUAAAUUUACACCAUCAGCCUGUGAAAUCAAGGUCGUUGAAUAAACAUAGCUCCCGACUGUCGGAUCAAGAAAUAAAGGUCAUUAUUAAAAGACAAUGGUUUUUAAAGUUAUGAUUUUUAUCAUAAUUAUCUUUUAAUAAUGAUUUAUUAUGAAAGAUGAGAUAUAUCUGGAAGCAUGACGGCACAACUGGCGUGUGAAUGUGUGGAUGGGAUUGGAUUUAAGUGAUAGCCAUCAGGAUGCAUGCAUGGAUGAGUUUAAAUCAUAGGAAACCUAGGUAAACUAGGCUUUUUGUUUUACUUGGUAAUGGAUGUGGCAGAUGUGCCGUGGGAAAGGCUAUCAUAUAUAUAUAUAUAUAUAUAUAUAUAUAUAUUUGGUGAAUGUCGUACAUUUUGGCAGUCUGCAUGCCAUGGGAAAGGUGCAAACUAUAUAUAUAAUUGGUGGUUGUUUAGGUGAAGGUUAUCCAAGUCACGUCAAAUACAUGGGAAUUUGAAAUAGAACUCUACUCGAGAAUCAGGUCGUGCCAAGCAAGUACAUCAGUCCUAUAAAUACAGAUGCAAUGGCAACGGAAAAGGGACCUCCAAUUCAACACACAAAUCGCCUUGCGCAUUCUCUCGCUCUACGCGAAACCUCUCAACAACCUUGAGAUUUUUGUUUUCCUCUUUUCACCAACGCACGUUCACUGUGAAGGCAACCGGCGAACAUCUUCAGUUUGGAUAAACAGCACUGUUGUCGUAGAAUUAGCCGACCGUGAAGCAUCUUCAGUUUGGAUAAACAGCACUGCGACAGGGCCGACCGGUUAUCUAUCCAAGUCUCGGUCGAGAAGGAUUUUUGAAUCAUUAUCGGUAGGGGUCAUCUCGUUAGCUUUCUCGGCGAAACGGGGUGUUACAAGUUACUAUACUCGACACAUUGAACGCCGAGUCGUUUAUGAUUGGUUAUUUGCAAGUAGGUUUUAGAGUUCGGCAUUCUGACGGUCGAACCACUUUCACAAUCAAGACAUAUAUUUGUUUUGAAUACUUGUGUCCCUAUACUCUGGUGUCGAUUCGGCGUGCUUAUACUUUUACGAAUAUAAUCACGGUGACUGAAUCCGGCGCCGACGAUUUGUGAACUUCGCAGAACUAGUAGCUUUGUCUUCAAGCUCUAGAACCUAAAGGCCGAGGCGUGUUCCUUCCUCGGCCGCAGUCGCAAGAUCGAGAAGUUAGCCGCGCACCCAAUGCAACAUCAACAAAUUUUACUCCUCGACCGAGCUCGGCCGACGAGUUGGCACGCCCCGCAUACAACCAAAUGACGUAGUUAGCUUACUAAUUACUCAGUCUGCGCGCCAUGUAGGCUUGGUAGUUUUUAAGGUCAACAAAUGCUAAUCACAAUUUCCUUUACAUUGAUAUAUAAUGAUGCGGUGAUGCUCACUAUGUUAUUUGGUGCCGAAUAAUUCAUUUUCAAAUAUAAAACUUAAUUAUUCAAAGUAAAUAAGAAGUUUCUAAAUUGAGAACUAGUAUAACCAUAUCGUUGUCUCUAAAUCGAAUCAACGGGUUAUGCAAGUGGUCUUUUACCACAGUGGUUGAAAUAUGUUGAGCCAUUGCAAGACGGAGUGGGUUCAAAUUCUGUCGGUGGCUAAUCCAACAAAAUCUAUUAUUUUACAAAAAAAAAAAAAAAAAAAAAAGGGGUUCUCCCUCAUCAUAAUAAUAAUUAUGUUUAGCCCUUGGGAAUAGUUCAACCUGUGACCGAUGAUGAAGGAUGGGAUAUCUAGUUCGGAUUAGGGUUAGCUCACCAAAUUAAAACUAGGCAUCGUUAUGAAAGCAAGUUUUCAAGGCCAUAAAAGACACAGGAAUUUUUGGCUUCUUUACCCUCAAAAGUCUAUGAAGAUGAUGUUUUUGGUGCAUGUAGUUUUCAAUAGCGACACUUUUUUAGAGAGGAAAGAAAAAAGUGCAAGAAAAAAAUUACAUGUUAAUUGAUUGGCCUUGGUUUGGGUUGCGUGAUAACAUUUUUGUCUGAAGUAAUAAUGCGGGAUUAGGCGCUACUUUCUUUUGGAAGUUGGAAAUUAACUCUGCUUUUUGGAAGGAAGCUUAAAAUGAAAGGUAAAAUUAGGGAGAUCAAAUUUUUAAAUAUUAAAUUUUGUAAAUCAAAUGAUGUAGUUCAAAAUGAUUGAAUUAUUACUCAAGUAUUAAUUAACGUACUUAUUUACUAUUGGUGACACAUCAUUU